UCUUCUUUUCUUAAACGCUUAAUGUUUAUUUUUGGGUCAACAAGGCCCCAUGGUAAGCUAAGGUAAGCUAGCUAAAGCUACCAUGUGGCUUCAUUCAUUCAUCCUUUAUUCUUCAAAAAACUUAGUUUUAACCUGACGCUUUAAGGCGAGUGACAUUGUCCAGUGAAGAGGAUGGCGACAAGUGGUACGGCAGCCCCAUCAGGCCUACAUCUCCAUCCACCCUCAGGUCUUCACCUCCACCGCCUCCAUCCACCCUCAGAUCUAUGCAAACUCCUCCACCGUUUCCAUCUACUAGGCCUACACCUCCACCACGUCAGGGUAACUAUAGAUGGCCCAAUGUUUGAACCUGUCACCACGUACCCCUUGAACACAAAUCAGGAACAGCAUGUUUGUUCGCAUCUUAACACUCCUUGAGGAGAUAAAAGACACCCAAAAAAUCCAACGGAGGAUGCUACAAAUGUUGUAACCAGCGUGGCAACAUCAGCACUACCGUCUCUUCUACCCCAGAGGUUUUCCCCAUAAAGACAGUUUGUGAUGUGGAAAUCAUGGAAGAAAAACUGGCAAACCCAAACUUCAUGUCCGAACUGGUUGCAGCUGUGGCUGACGGGGGGAACAACUGUUGAUGAGGCCACAAGAAGGAUGAUGACCUUCCUCCUACACCACCGGCCUAUGCAGGCAUUACAACUUAGUGGGCU
This is a long non-coding RNA of Thalassophryne amazonica, 695 nucleotides long. RefSeq lists it as uncharacterized. The record is from RefSeq and is a predicted model, not a curated record. The transcript has 3 exons. NCBI's taxonomy places the organism in Eukaryota, Metazoa, Chordata, Actinopteri, Batrachoidiformes, Batrachoididae.